CCUACGGGUGGCAGCAGUGAGGAAUAUUGGUCAAUGGGCGCGAGCCUGAACCAGCCAAGUAGCGUUAAGGAUGACUGCCCUACGGGUUGUAAACUUCUUUUAUAAAGGAAUAAAGUGAGGCACCUGUGCCUUUUUGUAUGUACUUUAUGAAUACGGAUCGGCUAACUCCGUGCCAGCAGCCGCGGUAAUACGGAUGUUCCGAGCGUUAUCCGGAUUUAGUGGGUUUAAAGGGAGCGUAGAUGGGUUGUUAAGUCAGUUGUGAAAGUUUGCGGCUCAACCGUAAAAUUGCAAUUGAUACUGGCAGGCUGGAGUACAGGUGAGGGAGGCGGAAUUCGUGGUGUAGCGGUGAAAUGCUUAGAUAUCACGAAGAACUCCGAUUGCGAAGGCAGCUUACUAAACUGCGACUGACAUUGAUGCUCGAAAGUGUGGGUAGCAAACAGGAUUAGAUACCCCGGUAGUC
This 460-nucleotide ribosomal RNA is filed under the name uncultured bacterium. Its description in RNAcentral is "partial 16S ribosomal RNA". It matches the Rfam family "Bacterial small subunit ribosomal RNA", at positions 338 to 795 of the family's 1533-position model. The record is from RNAcentral.